GAUGAACGCUGGCGGCGUGCCUAAUACAUGCAAGUCGAGCGAACGGACGAGAAGCUUGCUUCUCUGAUGUUAGCGGCGGACGGGUGAGUAACACGUGGAUAACCUACCUAUAAGACUGGGAUAACUUCGGGAAACCGGAGCUAAUACCGGAUAAUAUUUUGAACCGCAUGGUUCAAAAGUAAAAGACGGUCUUGCUGUCACUUAUAGAUGGAUCCGCGCUGCAUUAGCUAGUUGGUAAGGUAACGGCUUACCAAGGCAACGAUGCAUAGCCGACCUGAGAGGGUGAUCGGCCACACUGGAACUGAGACACGGUCCAGACUCCUACGGGAGGCAGCAGUAGGGAAUCUUCCGCAAUGGGCGAAAGCCUGACGGAGCAACGCCGCGUGAGUGAUGAAGGUCUUCGGAUCGUAAAACUCUGUUAUUAGGGAAGAACAUAUGUGUAAGUAACUGUGCUCAUCUUGACGGUACCUAAUCAGAAAGCCACGGCUAACUACGUG
RNAcentral lists this ribosomal RNA (497 nucleotides) under uncultured bacterium. RNAcentral describes it as "partial 16S ribosomal RNA". It matches the Rfam family "Bacterial small subunit ribosomal RNA", at positions 28 to 507 of the family's 1533-position model. The record is from RNAcentral.